This 1039-nucleotide ribosomal RNA is filed under the name uncultured Pyramimonadales. RNAcentral describes it as "partial Bacterial small subunit ribosomal RNA". It matches the Rfam family "Bacterial small subunit ribosomal RNA", at positions 506 to 1530 of the family's 1533-position model. The record is from RNAcentral. Lineage: Eukaryota; Viridiplantae; Chlorophyta; Pyramimonadophyceae; Pyramimonadales.
UGCCAGCAGCCGCGGUAAUACGGGGGAUGCAAGCGUUAUCCGGAAUGAUUGGGCGUAAAGCGUUUGUAGGUGGCUUCAUAAGUCUAUGCGUUAAAGGGUAGAGCUCAACUCUACUAUGGCCAUAGAAACUAUGAUUAGCUUGAGUGUGGUAGGGGUAGAGGGUAUUCCCGGUGUAGCGGUGAAAUGCGUAGAUAUCGGGAGGAACACCAAUGGCGAAAGCACUUUACUGGGCCAACACUGACACUGAGAGACGAAACCUUAGGUAGCAAAAAGGAUUAGAGACCCUUGUAGUCUAAGGAGUAAACGAUGGAUACUAAGUGUCGUGGAAUUUUAGGAAUCUACGGUUCUGUAGCUAACGCGUUAAGUAUCCCGCCUGGGGAGUACGCUCGCAAGGGUGAAACUCAAAGGAAUUGACGGGGGCCCGCACAAGCGGUGGAGCAUGUGGUUUAAUUCGACAACGCGAAGAACCUUACCAGGGCUUGACAUGUACGUGAUUAAAUUUCGAAAAGAUUAUUUAAGUGUCGGUUCGGCCAUUGGCUUUACCGAAGAGACGUUCACAGGUGGUGCAUGGCUGUCGUCAGCUCGUGUUGUGAAAUGUAGAGUUCAGUCUCGUAACGAGCGCAACCCUUGUCUUUUUGUUGAUUAACGAAAGAGACUGCCGAUGAUUCAUCGGAGGAAGGUGAGGACGACGUCAAGUCAUCAUGCCCCUUACGCCCUGGGCGACACACGUGCUACAAUGGCUGGGACAAUGAGUAGCAACCCCGCGAGGGUGAGCAAACCCCAAAAACCCAGUCUCAGUUCGAAUUGGAGGCUGAAACUCGCCUCCAUGAAGAUGGAAUCGCUAGUAAUCGCCAGUCAGCCAUAUGGCGGUGAAUCCGUUCCCGGGCCUUGUACACACCGCCCGUCACACCAUGGGAGUUUGCCAGACCCAAAGUCGUUACCUUAACUUUUUAAGAGGGGGAUGCCUAAGGUCGGGCAGGUAACUAUGGUGAAGUCGAAACAAGGUAGCCGUACUGGAAGGUGCGGCUGGACAACCUCC